CAACUACCAAUACCCAAACAAAUAGAUACACUUCUAAUGCCUUGUGAAGCGUGGUUGUUAGCCAAGCAUCUUCAGUGCUGAUAACUUGCUGAUCUACCACCUCUUUCUGCCUUUCCGCCAAUUAUCUUUUAUCCAAAAUCAACCUAUCACCCUUUCUUGCCCAAUCCACACACAGAACCACCCAUCAUCAUUUUCCCGCUACUAUAAGAUCUCACCUUAUGCCGCUAUUCUAAUCCUCUCCAAUCUGAUUCCAACGCUAGUGUGCUACUGAUAGACCUCCCAUACGCUUCACGUAUACAAGAAGAGGAAAGAAUAAGUAAGGCAGCCAAGUCAGUCGACAUUCCAGAAUAUUCGACCAAUUAUGUAGUAAAGCGGUAAAAGAGUAAUAGUGAUAGGGAAAAAUGUCUAUAAAAUGUGAUAGAGAGAGAAAGAGGAAGUCAGGUAAUUAUUGAGUGAGUAUAAGGGAAACCUUUAGGAGAGUUAUAUCCCUCUCGAAUGGCUAAUUGUUCUUUACUUUCUUUGUAAUUUUUCUGUAAUUCAAUCAAAGUUCAUUUCAUUAUUUCUUGUCAUUAUUUUUUGUACUGUUGGAAUCCUAUUAAAUGGUAUCAGAGCCAUCGAUUCUCGAACGAAUGGAAACUAGUUUCAGCAGCAAAUUGGAAGAGGGGGUUUGCUGCUGAAUCGGUUUGAGAAUGUGAUAAGGCAACAGUACGAAGGAGGCCGAGAUGAUGAUUCAGGGCUGGAUGCUCAUGGUCGACUCAUAAUUUCCAUAUUCUACGGUGAUAAUAUGGAGUGGUGGGUGUUGGAGGCAGAGAAGAUUUUCUCCAGAAAUCAAUUAGCAGAGCCAUAGAAGAUAGAGGCUGCAACAAUUUGUUUUCGCGGCGAAGCAUGGGAUUGGUUUCAAUGGAUAGAUCGACUACGACCGGUGCGAACUUGGGAUUAAUUAAAGGGAUUGAUGUUGGCUCGAUUUCACGUGAACAAGCUCUCCAGUGGUGAAGAAUUGUUGACGGAAAAUCGCAAGCACCACUGGGAGAAAAAAAUUGAUGGGAUUCAGUUGGAUGUGCAGGAGGAUCUGAAAACACUAAAAUCUAAAAUUAAGUAGGUAAUGUGUAAGCUUGACUUGAUGAUGGAAAAAAUGGGACAAGCCGGGGAAGAAAAGGGUCAGGCGGCUACUCUACCUGAGUUGGAUGAAAUUUGGACAAUUACACUUCAAUCGGAUGAAGGUGGGGCAAUUAUUGACAGCCAUAACAGCGUAGAAGAAUCGGGUAAGGUAGUGGCACGCAAUUGUGGACUAAAAAUGCUGGUUUCGAAAGGAAUUGCAACUCCAUUGUCGGCAAUUUUUGAAGCGAUGGAUGGCGAUUGUAGUACAGGGCUGAGAUCAGUUAAAGUCAGGGAGCCUGGCUUAGGCUUCAUUGGGGAGUUAGUCCAACACGUGGAAGAUAAGAAUGAAUUGGUAAAGCAGGCCCAAAUGAGUUACAGCCCAAAUAGAAAUAAAAAUAAUUCCAGCAGCCCAAACUUUUUUAAAGGCCCAUCCCUAUACCUAUAUACUCACCCAAACAUCUCAACCCACUCAAUACAAAUCAUCCACCCAAAAACUAAUGUUGUUACGGUGCUUCAACCAUCGGCAAUGCCAAGUGAAUUUCCUGUGGUAGGUUCAACUGGUCAUGGAGUUUCCUUGGAUAUGAUACUUGCGAUAAUUGCUUGCUUGAUUAAGUCAUCCCACUUCAAGGAGUUGAAAUGUCCUGUGUUUGCAAAACAAAUAGUUUGGUUGCAUGAUGAAUUGACAAAGACAUCAACAACUUCCACCUUGAGGACGAGGUGGAUUUUGGGUCGGCGGGUAAUGAUAGACCUCCCUACACUUCACGUAUACAAGAAGAGGAAAGAAUGAAGUAAGGCAGCCAAGUCAGUCGACAUUCCAAAAUAUUCGACCAAGUAUGUAGUAAAGGGGUAAAAGAGUAAUAGUGAUAGGGAAAAAUGUCUAUAAAAUGUGAUAGAGAGAAAAAGGAAAUCAGGCAAUUAUUGAGUGAGUAGAAGGGAAACCUUUAGGGGAGUUAUAGCCCUCUCGAAUGGCUAAUUUUUCUUUUCUUUCUUUGUAAUUUUUCUGUAAUUCAAUCAAAGUUCAUUUCACUAUUUCCUAUCAUUAUUUUCUGUACAGCUGGAAUCCUAUCAGCUACCACUUUCAUCCCUAUUUCACUUUCAUCUAAAGUUCUUGUACAGUUGUAUCGUUGCAAUCAAUAAGCAAAGAUCGCGCUGUUUACUCCACCAGACAACUCGCCAAGACCACGCUAUCGGCUUCUCCAACGAAUCUUCAACUCAAGCAGCCGACCUACUGCUAUAUUCUACCAGUGAUCCCACCAACAUCUCUUCCACCAUCAUCCACUAGUUUUAUCUCAUCGUCGCCUCCAUUCAUGUCGAAGUUCCAUCUCGUUGGUAAGUCUCGACGUCCUCUUUCUUGUUACUCGUGCUUUACUUGAUUACCACCUACUGUCCUUACUGUUGCUAGACUGUCGGACGUUGCCGCUAACCACCACCUCCUCAAUCAGUAUUUGAAUCUUUUGCCUAUCGUUUUUGCUAGAUGCAUCUCUUCUGGUUCAUUGCUGUGUUGAUGACACUAUUGGAGUUCUUGCUUCCUGUUUACACUGAACUUGGAAAGCAAUUCAUAAAUUAUCACACCUGGCAUUGCAUAUAAUUGGAAUCGUAUAUGCACCACUUGCAUCUUGCUGGAGUCUCGCAAGGUAUCUCGAUUUUGUAAUUUUUGAAAGCUGUAAUUUUUAUUUAGGUGUUUAUGGCAUGUCCAACCUAAUAUUUAACAAAAAAAUUGAAAUAAUAUAACUAAAAGUUAGGUAAUAUAGUAUACGAUCCGUUUCAUGACUUUUACACCUCUGCACGACCUUAUGUUGCUACCACGAUCAUGUACCUUCCCUUUUCCACUCAUCAGCAUAAUUAUCAUCCAUCUAUGAACUUUGUCGGAGACGUAUAUUCUCCUUUUUAGGGGGAAAUAUAUGGAAAUAACCUUUUCAAAAGGUUUACUUUUCCAAAAUGACCCUUAGGCAAUUUACAUACCAAAAAUACCCUCCAUUUGGAUAUUACAUAAUAAG
RNAcentral lists this long non-coding RNA (3095 nucleotides) under Olea europaea subsp. europaea. Lineage: Eukaryota; Viridiplantae; Streptophyta; Magnoliopsida; Lamiales; Oleaceae. The record is from RNAcentral.